RNAcentral lists this transfer RNA (67 nucleotides) under Macaca maura (moor macaque). Its description in RNAcentral is "tRNA-Lys". Lineage: Eukaryota; Metazoa; Chordata; Mammalia; Primates; Cercopithecidae. The record is from RNAcentral.
CACUGUACAGCUAUCCUAGCGUUAACCUUUUAAGUUGAAGAUGGGGNNGACACACCCUCUACAGUGA